UUAAACAAUAACAAGUAUUUCUUAAGAAAUUCGAGAUUAUACAUUAUUAUCUUUGCAAAUGGAUGGAGGUUAUCGUAAGUUCCUUGUAUAAUUACAUACAUCAUCAUGCUUUCUUGGCAUUCAUUUUUACGUUCUUGCUGCAAACUCAUCUUAAAAGAAUGAAGGUCACAUUGGUGCUGUUAGUUCUGGCGUGUGCCAUUAGCCUCGCCUACGGAGACCUAGUCUGCGGUUCAAGCUACUGCAAA
Molecule: RNA transcript, 245 nt
Organism: Pieris rapae (cabbage white)
Lineage: Eukaryota; Metazoa; Arthropoda; Insecta; Lepidoptera; Pieridae
Exons: 2
Source: RefSeq, a predicted model, not a curated record